Molecule: ribosomal RNA, 687 nt
Filed under: uncultured bacterium
Lineage: Bacteria
Description: partial 16S ribosomal RNA
Rfam family: Bacterial small subunit ribosomal RNA
Source: RNAcentral
GCAGUCGUGCGGGAAAGGGGGGUUUUUUUCUCCCAGUACCGCGGCAAACGGGUGAGUAACACGUGAGUAACCUGUCCUCGGGUCUGGGAUAACCACCCGAAAGGGUGGCUAAUACUGGAUAAAGUCAUUGGGCGCAAGUUCAGUGAUGAAAGGGAGCCUCUGUAUAGCAAGCUCCUGCCUGAGGGGGGGCUCGCGGCCCAUCAGCUAGUUGGUGGGGUAACGGCCCACCAAGGCUAAGACGGGUAGCCGGCCUGAGAGGGUGGUCGGCCACACGGGCACUGAGACACGGGCCCGACUCCUACGGGAGGCAGCAGGGGGGGAUCUUGGGCAAUGGGCGCAAGCCUGACCCAGCGACGCCGCGUGGGGGAAGAAGGCCUUCGGGUCGUAAACCCCUGUUCUGGGGGAAGAACCUUGCCUUAGUGAAUAGCUAAGGCAAGCUGACGGUACCCAAGGAGAAAGCCACGGCUAACUGCGUGCCAGCAGCCGCGGUAAUACGCAGGUGGCAAGCGUUGCCCGGAAUCACUGGGCGUAAAGGGUGCGUAGGCGGCUGGGUAAGUCGCAGGUUAAAGCCCGGGGCUCAACCCUGGACAGGCCUGCGAUACUGCCUGGCUUGAGGGCUGGAGAGGCUGGCGGAAUUCCCGGUGUAGGGGUGAAAUCCGUAGAUAUCGGGAGGAACACCGGUGGGGG